UCAUUAAAUCAGUUAUCGUUUAUUUGAUAGUACCUUACUACAUGGAUACCUGUGGUAAUUCUAGAGCUAAUACAUGCUGAAAACCUCGACUUCGGAAGGGGUGUAUUUAUUAGAUAAAAAACCAAUGCCCUUCGGGGCUCCUUGGUGAAUCAUAAUAACUUAACGAAUCGCAUGGCCUUGCGCCGGCGAUGGUUCAUUCAAAUUUCUGCCCUAUCAACUUUCGAUGGUAGGAUAGUGGCCUACCAUGGUGGCAACGGGUAACGGGGAAUUAGGGUUCGAUUCCGGAGAGGGAGCCUGAGAAACGGCUACCACAUCCAAGGAAGGCAGCAGGCGCGCAAAUUACCCAAUCCCGACACGGGGAGGUAGUGACAAUAAAUACUGAUACGGGGCUCUUUUGGGUCUCGUAAUUGGAAUGAGUACAAUCUAAAUCCCUUAACGAGGAACAAUUGGAGGGCAAGUCUGGUGCCAGCAGCCGCGGUAAUUCCAGCUCCAAUAGCGUAUAUUAAAGUUGUUGCAGUUAAAAAGCUCGUAGUUGAACCUUGGGUCUGGCUGGCCGGUCCGCCUCACCGCGAGUACUGGUCCGGCUGGACCUUUCCUUCUGGGGAAUCUCAUGGCCUUCACUGGCUGUGGGGGGAACCAGGACUUUUACUGUGAAAAAAUUAGAGUGUUCAAAGCAGGCCUUUGCUCGAAUACAUUAGCAUGGAAUAAUAGAAUAGGACGUGCGGUUCUAUUUUGUUGGUUUCUAGGACCGCCGUAAUGAUUAAUAGGGAUAGUCGGGGGCGUCAGUAUUCAGCUGUCAGAGGUGAAAUUCUUGGAUUUGCUGAAGACUAACUACUGCGAAAGCAUUCGCCAAGGAUGUUUUCAUUAAUCAGGGAACGAAAGUUAGGGGAUCGAAGACGAUCAGAUACCGUCGUAGUCUUAACCAUAAACUAUGCCGACUAGGGAUCGGACGGUGUUUCUAUUAUGACCCGUUCGGCACCU
This 981-nucleotide ribosomal RNA is filed under the name Aspergillus niger. RNAcentral's name for it is "SSU rRNA". It matches the Rfam family "Eukaryotic small subunit ribosomal RNA", at positions 98 to 1088 of the family's 1831-position model. The record is from RNAcentral. Lineage: Eukaryota; Fungi; Ascomycota; Eurotiomycetes; Eurotiales; Aspergillaceae.